Molecule: ribosomal RNA, 416 nt
Filed under: uncultured Funneliformis
Lineage: Eukaryota; Fungi; Glomeromycota; Glomeromycetes; Glomerales; Glomeraceae
Description: partial 28S ribosomal RNA
Source: RNAcentral
GAGAGUUAAACAGUACGUGAAAUUGUUGAAAGGGAAACGAUUGAAGUCAGUCAUACCAACGGGAAAUCAACCUUUUGAGUUUGGUCUCGUGGGUUUUGAAGAGUUUUUAAAAGCCUUCGGAUUUUCGAGAUUGGGUUCUUCUGGUGUACUUUCUCGUACGGUUAGUCAACAUCGGUUUUGAAUGUCAUAAAAUGACUGGAGGAAUGUGGCUUCGAUCUCGUAUUGAAGUGUUAUAGCCUUUGGUAGAUGUGAUGUUUGAGACCGAGGAUUGCAACGGAUACCCUUCAGGGCUAUUCGUCUGAUCUCUGAUACGUUGCCUUGAUGUUGAAAGCUUGCUUAUGAUGUUAGGGUAUUACGGUCAAAAGGUUAGAACGAAUUACAUUCGUUAAGGAUGUUGACGUAAUGACUUUAAACGA